This 636-nucleotide long non-coding RNA is filed under the name Sorghum bicolor (sorghum). RNAcentral's name for it is "long non-coding RNA (SBIC_LNC002069)". Lineage: Eukaryota; Viridiplantae; Streptophyta; Magnoliopsida; Poales; Poaceae. The record is from RNAcentral.
UUUAUACAUCUAGAAUACCAAAAUAAGUUACAAUUUGGAUUAGAGGGAUCGACCAGUGAUAUACAUGCAGACAAUCUCACACGUUUGAGGACCGAUGACGUGUAGUAUGUGUUGUGCCACUUACAGGAAGACACAAUGAGCAAGCUAAAAAGUAACAAGUGCAUGCGAUAGUCCAUUGCAAACACGCAUGCAAUAAAAAAACAUAUGUGUGUAUGUAUUGAGGCAGAGGUAGUGGAAGGUUGUGGGUAAUAACUAAUAUGUAUAUGUAUAUGUAUAUGUAUAUGUAUAUGUAUAUGUAUAUGUAUAUGUAUAUGUAUAUGUAUAUGUAUAUGUAUAUGUAUAUGUAUAUGUAUAUGUAUAUGUAUAUGUAUAUGUAUAUGUAUAUGUAUAUGUAUAUGUAUAUGUAUAUGUAUGCUUGUUGAUCAGCGGUUCAUGACCUGCACCCUUCUAUGGUGUCGCACCGGCGGGUGUAGACGUAUCAUCGGCGACCUCGUCGGGGCCGGGGCUGGGGCGGACCAGAUCCUUGUUCCGCUUUACUGCCAUGUCGUUGGGCCCCAUGUAGUCGAGAUGCAUGGAUGCAUCAGCGUCCUGAACGACGACAGUGCUCAGGAGGAGGAGGGCAACCAGGGACAGGCC